Molecule: long non-coding RNA, 649 nt
Filed under: Astyanax mexicanus (Mexican tetra)
Lineage: Eukaryota; Metazoa; Chordata; Actinopteri; Characiformes; Acestrorhamphidae
Description: lncRNA (ENSAMXG00005006796.1)
Source: RNAcentral
CCAAUCAGCGACUGUUGUUAGGCAGAUUUUUAUGUCUGACGUUCUUACAGCGCGUGAAGAGCUUAAUCGACCACUCCUUCUAUUUUAGUGUUUAAAUGCGGGCAUAAGCUAACUUGGCGAUGGCAGUUCGAGUGUCUGGGAGAGCAGCAGAGGACAAUACUGACAGUGAUGACAGCAUUAAAGAAAAACGUCCAAACUUACACGAUGUGGAGAAAAAUGAGAAAAAGUCUGAGAACAAAAUGGAACACAAAAAUAAACAGAGGACCAAACUGUCAGAGACAACAGCAAGGCGGAGUACAGCCCAAACCAGUGUCCCAAGAACAGGUCAGUGUACCAGAUUUAGGUUGCUGUGCUUUAAUUUGAGGUUAAGCACAUUGGUAAUAUGUUUGUUAAUAUUUUUGCCAUGUUAUAUCUCUGAGCAGGGGUUCUUAACCUUUUUUCACCAUUUCUUUUACAAAACAAAUGAUUGGACCUUAAGUUAAAUAUGUUUGCACACUUAGACAGGCUCUGUGUUUAAUUUUCUGUUAUGUAAAUGCAGAAAAUCUAGAUUCACAGAAAACAAUUUGAUUCAAAAGCAACACUUCUAUCAAUGUCAGAGAAGUGCCUUUGAUGGAAUCUUGAGUUAACAAUAAAAAUCAAAAUUCAGACA